GCCCUGGUAGUGUAGUCCGGUCAAUCAUUCCGCCCUCUCGAGGCGGCGACCCGGGUUCAAAUCCCGGCCGGGGCA
This 75-nucleotide transfer RNA is filed under the name Candidatus Woesearchaeota archaeon. Its description in RNAcentral is "tRNA-Glu". It matches the Rfam family "tRNA". From Rfam's summary of the family: Transfer RNA (tRNA) molecules are approximately 80 nucleotides in length. Their secondary structure includes four short double-helical elements and three loops (D, anti-codon, and T loops). Lineage: Archaea; Nanobdellati; Candidatus Woesearchaeota. The record is from RNAcentral.